Molecule: long non-coding RNA, 853 nt
Filed under: Heterocephalus glaber (naked mole-rat)
Lineage: Eukaryota; Metazoa; Chordata; Mammalia; Rodentia; Bathyergidae
Description: lncRNA (ENSHGLG00000032309.1)
Source: RNAcentral
GUUCCUGGCCUCGGCAUCCUGCUGCACCCAGAACAGAGCCCCUCCUUAGUGCACGCCCUGCAGAAUACCUGCCAAGCUUGCUAUACCCAGCCUGUCCCAGGCCUCACCCCCAUUUAGACCAAUACAGCCAGCAGGUAGGGAGCUAUAAAGGAGUCAGGAGUAUUGAUUGCGCACCUUAUCCAAGCCAGGCUCCUUAAUCUCACAGCUGGCCCAGCCUCUAGCUGCUGACUCAGUCUCCGGCACAAUCCUCCACACCUGUAUCAGCCCUGAGAAGUUUCGGAAACUCCAGCACCAGCUCUGGCGAAAAGAUCUCCAUGGUCCAAGGGCAGGGCCAGUGUUUUCCAACGCACCUUCUCAUUUGUUUCUCACACCCUCAGCUAUUGCCCCCAUUGACAAACAAGGAAACAACCUGCCACUCGUUCAACAGGUCUUAGGAGCACAGUGAGAGGCUGUGUGUGGAGAAUAAAAACAGGUGCUCUCCCGCUGGGAAAGAGCUGGGGGGGGGCAAGGACAGUUGACUUCAACGUCCUCACUUACCAACUCUGUGUCCUGGGCGACCUCCUGGACCUCUCUGAGGUCAUUUCCUCUCUGGCAGGACAGGCCUGAUAGUCACACCGCAGCGGGCCAUGGUCAGGAUUCAGUGAGCUCACCAGGCCUGGCUCUGGCUGGAGCUCCAGAGCAGUGGCUUCUGUGACAAAGAACAAAGCCCCCGCGCAGCAGGGGUAAGGGGAGGUGGGAAAGACAGGAGUGGGAAGCAGGGAGAAGGGGGUCUUGAGCGCUGAGGGGUCGUGCUGGGAGCGGGCUCUGGCAAUGCGGGCACAAGGGCCGGGGUGGGGUCAGGCUACCCGGACGC